UACGAACGCUGGCGGCAUGCCUAACACAUGCAAGUCGAACGAUCCCUUCGGGGAUAGUGGCGCACGGGUGCGUAACGCGUGGGAAUCUGCCCUCAGGUACGGAAUAACUCAGGGAAACUUGAGCUAAUACCGUAUAAUGACUUCGGUCCAAAGAUUUAUCGCCUGGGGAUGAGCCCGCGUCGGAUUAGCUAGUUGGUGAGGUAAAAGCUCACCAAGGCGACGAUCCGUAGCUGGUCUGAGAGGAUGAUCAGCCACACUGGGACUGAGACACGGCCCAGACUCCUACGGGAGGCAGCAGUGGGGAAUAUUGGACAAUGGGCGCAAGCCUGAUCCAGCAAUGCCGCGUGAGUGAUGAAGGCCUUAGGGUUGUAAAGCUCUUUUACCCGGGAAGAUAAUGACUGUACCGGGAGAAUAAAGCCCCGGCUAACUCCGUGCCAGCAGCCGCGGUAAUACGGAGGGGGCUAGCGUUGUUCGGAAUUACUGGGCGUAAAGCGCACGUA
This 500-nucleotide ribosomal RNA is filed under the name uncultured bacterium. RNAcentral's name for it is "bacterial SSU rRNA". It matches the Rfam family "Bacterial small subunit ribosomal RNA", at positions 28 to 573 of the family's 1533-position model. The record is from RNAcentral.